GUAGGUGGCAAGCGUUGCCCGGAAUUAUUGGGCGUAAAGCGCGCGCAGGCGGUCCUUUAAGUCUGAUGUGAAAGCCCACGGCUCAACCGUGGAGGGUCAUUGGAAACUGGGGGACUUGAGUACAGAAGAGGAAAGCGGAAUUCCAAGUGUAGCGGUGAAAUGCGUAGAGAUUUGGAGGAACACCAGUGGCGAAGGCGGCUUUCUGGUCUGUAACUGACGCUGAGGCGCGAAAGCGUGGGGAGCAAACGGGGAUUAGAUACCCUGGUAGUCCAGGCCGUAAACGAUGAGUGCUAAGUGUUAGGGGGUUUCCCGCCCCCUUAGUGCUGCAGCUAACGCAUUAAGCACUCCGCCUGGGGAGUACGGCCGCAAGGCUG
RNAcentral lists this ribosomal RNA (374 nucleotides) under uncultured organism. Its description in RNAcentral is "partial 16S ribosomal RNA". It matches the Rfam family "Bacterial small subunit ribosomal RNA", at positions 527 to 896 of the family's 1533-position model. The record is from RNAcentral.